Long non-coding RNA from Zalophus californianus (California sea lion), 974 nucleotides. RefSeq lists it as uncharacterized. NCBI's taxonomy places the organism in Eukaryota, Metazoa, Chordata, Mammalia, Carnivora, Otariidae. The record is from RefSeq and is a predicted model, not a curated record. The transcript is spliced from 3 exons.
CUGGAUUACCCAGGUGGAUCCAAUGUAAUCACAAGGGUUAUUAUAAGUAAAAUAGGGAGGCAGGAGUGUUAAGAGUCAGAGAAGAUGUGACUGCAGACACAGGUGUCCGAGUGCUGUGAUUGCUGGCUACAAGGAGACCACGAGCCCAGGAAGCUGGAAAAGGCAAGGAAACAGAUCCUCCCGCAGCGACUCCAGAGAAAACACUCCCUGUGGACACCUUGAUAUUAGCCCAUUGUGACCCAUUUUGAACUUCUCGCCUCCAGAACUUGAAGGCACUAAAUCUGUGUUGUUUUAAGUAGCCACAUUUGUAGCAAUUUGUUACAGCUGAGAUAGGAUGCUACUGCAGUCACUCAGCCAGGAUUCGCUGUGGGAGGAGCUCCAGGAAGGAGUGAAUCCCAGGAGCCAUCUUGAAUACCACAAAGGAUAUGUCUGCUUUUAAGACCACCUGUCAUCCCAGUGUUCUUUUGGGACAAGUCACCUCCAGUCCUCAUCUCUACUUUCUGAGAUACGGUUGCAAGCUUCAGCUGCAAGUCCUUCUCUGAACUUCCUCGAAGUGAGGAGCCUCUCAGUUUCUGACCAUCACCCCAACUGAUCAUCACCCCAACUACUCCUCACUGGCAUCUAGAAAAGACCACCACUGAGUCUUUCCUGAGUCACCACACUCAGGAGACAAAACUUGUUUGAGUAUGAACUAACCGUCGCUUGGUUUCCCAUGAAGCAAGAUUAGUAAAUGUUUCAGGAACAGUAGUGAAGAAUUGAGUUAAUUCUGCGGAACUCAACAUAAUUUCUUGCUUAUUUCAUUUCCGUUUUGAAGAUUUAAUCCCAUUCUUUAGAUUUAGUCAGCCAUUUGGUGAGUUCCAUUUCCCUACCUUCUGCUUACUAAAAGGUGCUCCUCAGGGUCUCAGGCAACAUGGCAAGGCAAUAAAGAGACAGAUAAAUCACAGUACCAGUCAUCCAAGGUGCUUAUGGUUUGG